UUAACUGUAAUGUUUUUUUUUUUGGUAACAUUUGGUUGGGACCCAAUUGGUAAAUCGGCGACGGCACGGCAAUCGUAAAAUUCUGCCCCGCCGACCGUCGGUUUUCAGUUCAUCCAAUUUCGGAAACUUAAUAAUCUCCGACGUUUUGCCAAACCCUCCAUAACCUCUAUUCUCAUCACCGCCGCCCUCUUAAACACUGUCAUUGAAUGGGGAAAAGACGCCGGAGCCUUACAUUUUGUGGAAUGCGAAGGAAAUUAAGGCCCCUAAUGGAGAAGGCUGAAAUCAAAAUCAGUUAACCUACCUGGUUAGAUUUGACACAUUGCAUUAUGGAGUUACUGUCAAAUUCCUGAAUUCAGUGAUUCGUGGGACCAGUAGGCCUAAUUCUGCCACUCCAUUAUCUUGCUCAUUUGUUGGGGCGUCACAAGAAUCAGGUAAUCAGGAAGUACCUUGGAGGGGGAAGUAGCCUUUUUCCUGCAGUAGUGGCAAUGAUUCAUACAGAACGGAAGCCAACAGGCCGCCAGUUCUUAGCGCCAGCCUUGGGAGGUUGAGUUGGUCAGCAACUACCCCUGCAAACUCCCACAAAGGGUCUGAUAUCAAGCAUGCAACUGGCUCCUUGUCCUUGAAUGCGUCCUCCAGAAUCUGGGAUAAGCAAUUCUGGAAAGACUCCAAACAGUUCUUAUUAAGGAUAGUUAUGGUAUCCAAAGAACCUGACAAAGGCGUUUUAGCUUUUGACAGGACAUCUUCAAUGAAGUGAAAGUUGAAGUUGGGGAAUUCAAUA
This is a long non-coding RNA of Spinacia oleracea (spinach), 778 nucleotides long. RefSeq lists it as uncharacterized. Lineage: Eukaryota; Viridiplantae; Streptophyta; Magnoliopsida; Caryophyllales; Amaranthaceae. The transcript is spliced from 3 exons. The record is from RefSeq and is a predicted model, not a curated record.